This is a long non-coding RNA of Nematostella vectensis (starlet sea anemone), 5838 nucleotides long. RefSeq lists it as uncharacterized. The record is from RefSeq and is a predicted model, not a curated record. Lineage: Eukaryota; Metazoa; Cnidaria; Anthozoa; Actiniaria; Edwardsiidae. The transcript is spliced from 5 exons.
CAGAAUGGAAGCAUACUCUAUGUACUUGCAGAGCUUGAAUUUUAGGAGAACUUUAUCACGUAAUUUGCCCCAUGCCAGAAAAACAGCAGUUAUUACCAGGCUGACGCGAAAAGGCUUUGGCUUGUUGGAUUCAGGAAAACAUGAAAUGGGCCCUGCUCUGGGAUGACUGAUAGGAAACUGGCAUCUGCAUUGACUUCUUGAGCAAUGAGUUUCUUUUGAUAAAACCAAGUUGGCCAGUCCCCGGGUGCUGGUACUACAAAUUUUUUCAAGUAAUGUUCCAGUUGUGGACAGCACAGGAAUAUGUGAUCAAUGGCUGAUUUAUAGUCCUCCAUACUUUUCAAAGAUUGCUCAAACUCAUCUAUUAAAUUAGUAGACUCAAGGGUACAGAGCUCAUCGUGCAACAACCCAGAAUAGACCCUACAAAAAAAGAAAAAAAAUGAUAAUUUGGCAAAUUUAAUGUUCCAUAUUUGCUUUUUUUUAUUUUACUCUACUCCUUUUUUUGUAAUAGCAGUCACUAAACAAAAGUAAAAUUGAUAUUAAUCAUUAUGUAUAUGGCUUUCACAAACUAAUGUAAGAGGUACAUAUUUAUUGGGUGGGAGGUCCAUAUAGGGGAAUAAAGUAUUGUGCCUGGAAAAAUAUUUAGGAAGUGUCAAUAUUAAAACAUUUUUUAAGAAGAGAAAACAGUAUUUUUCUUGUAUGGAUUGCUGACCUGUAAAUAACUACAUUAAAAUCCAUAGAAUACCUCAAUUCCUUUAGUUGUUGUUGGAUGUAUUUUGGUGAAAUGCAUUGGUGAUUUGUUUCCAAGUACAUUCUUGAUAACACUGGUCUUUGAAACAACUCUUUUAUGUAGUCUUGAACAAUUCCUCCUCUGCAAAUUUUAUUUUCAUUCCCUAUCUUCACAAUCACUCGGCUGUGUCUUGUAUCUCUUGUAGGGAUAGGAACAGCAGGAAUUGAAGGAUGGAUGUCCAGUAGGCCACUAGCCAUGUGCGUAGCUAAUGAUAGCUUCAGAUUUGUUGGUAGUCUAACAGUCAAAAUAUUAUGGAAGUCAUCCAACAGUUGUACAAUUAGGAAUCCUUUCUGAAAAUUUUAAAGAAAGUUAAGCAUCAGUUAUCCCACUGGCUUGUUUAAAUUGGAAUGGUUCUUGCUUAUUCUCAAGUAUUGUUUUUAUUAUUCUCUUAUUCACUAUUUACUAAAAUAAAAAUUUGUACCACACUAAUCUCACCUCUGUUGCAAGGAUAACCUUUCUCAUCAGUAUGUCUGGAUAUUUUGUUAUUAGUGUUUUCUUGUGAGAAUCAAUAUUUCUAGGACUUGUACUGAAAUGAAGUAUCCUUCCUGAAUUGAUUGCUGUCCUAGAAGCACCAUGAUGUUGUAGGAAUAGCCCUUCAUCCUUUUGUAGGGUGGAAGUUUUCUGAGACUUGGUAAAAUAAAUUUGUGUCAUUUAAAAAAGAACAAAACACUAGUUUUCUGGUGCAGCUUGUACACAUUGAAUUAUAGUAUAAAGCAUGAUAUUGAACAUACCUAGGCCCAAUUAUGAAAUUGGAGCAGAUAGAAAGGGGGAGCUUAUUACAAAAUUUAGCCUCUAGAGGGUUUUUAGAAAGGAAAGUAAUUGGAGGUUAGGGAGGUGGGUCUUAAUGGAGCAUUUAGGUUACCUGAAAUAUGCCAGUGUGUGAAGGAGAACAACAGUUCUUUGCUCCUGUACAGCUUGAUGUUAUUCUGAGAGUCUGGAGUCCUCCCUUGUUUUUUAACUUAAAAGCAUUUCAAACAGACCUGGAGAGUGUUUUUGUGUGAACGCUUUCAUUGCUGCUGGCUCAUAUAAUGGAGCUUCACUACUGAGGGCAUGAUGGUAUAGGGCCAUCUGAAAUUGUUGCACUAGUUGGCCCAGUGAAUUACCUGUUGAUAGCAAUUAUUGAAUAAAUUAUUCACAGUUUUAGUUGGGCUUGAUCCAUCACUGGGGUUGAACACUGAUCAGCCACAUCGUUGCUGAUCGAUAAAGCUAUUAUAAAUAUUAGAGCAUGCAGAUAUAUUUGAUCAUACAGCUGUACCUUCAUCCAAUUCGUCAAUUUUUUUGAUUGUUGUCUUUAUUUGGUCCCAUACUUGACUAUCCAUUAACAUGUUGCCAUUUGGGGCAAUUUUGAUGGUACCUAGGGGAGUUUGCAGCUCUUUCCAUGUUUCCAGGAGAUGAAUAUCACAUAUGUCUGCUAGAGCUUUAAGUCUUGAAAACAGCCUUCAAAAUUGUUCCUUUGUUUGAUCCAGUUGGGAUAUGGUAGGUGCUGACAUAGAUAUAUCUUGCAAAAUUUCAUGGAGGUGUAGAAUAGGGGAUCCCGUAAACUGAAAUAUCUGAAAUUUACAAAACAGUCAAAAUGGAAAACAAAAUAAGAAUAAACAAACUAUCUAAAAUAAAUAACAAUGAUUAGCAAAAUGUAUCAUCUUUUGGGGUGCAGGUUUUCUGUUGUGGGUGGGUCAAAUGGGGAGGGGUCAUACCUGUUUUCUAAAUUAUUGUUAAGGGGGAGUCAAAGGUUUCUAUUAGAUAUUAGGGGAGGGUCCAAAGAUAUUUCUGAAAAAUUACCUUAAAUAUCCCAGCCCACCCUAGCUCCUCAAUAAUAAAAUGUUUCUUGUCUUAUUCUAUUCCACAUAUUCUAAAUUAAGGAAUUCCUUUCAUUCUCUCAUAGAAAAUUAAUAAUUUUAUAUGAAUUGGCUUGGUGGAAAAAAAACUUGUCAAAAAGCUUAUUUGUCAGAAUUUUUACAAAUUGAAAAAAAAAAAUUCUUUUUCAACAAAUGCAAAAAUAUUGUUUGCACUACUACUUCUCAAUAAUUGAUAAAGUAUUUUUUUCCCACAAAAACAAAAAGAAAGGCGAACUGAAUUUUAUAGAUAAUUUGUGUGUUUCUUCAGAAUGUACAAAUAAACAAACCUUUUGUAGUUGUUGUUCUGUGCCGAUGGCGGAUGUACUACUAUUUGCUUUUUCCUAAUAAAAAGAACGAAAGAAUGUUCAAGCCUUUUCUAUGUACUCGUUUUUAUAUUUUGUUAAACAGAUUGAAAAUACAGGAAGAAAUACAUAGCAAUUUACAGAGAAGAGGCACUGCAGAGGAGUGGUUGUUUCCCCGAAUAAAAAUAUACACUUACCUCGACUGGUUUUCUACUUGUUUGAGGACGGCUUUAAAAUUUCUUAUAGGCGAGCAACUUGCACCGGUAACACCACCGAGUACCAGGCUGGUAUCCUGCCACUGUUAGCCCAAUCUCGUCAAGUACCGGAUAAAAACGACUUGGAAUAGGUUGCUUGUUCAGACGUGAGUGAGGGCAGUUGUUUAUCGUGCAUGGGACAUGAGCAGCGCAAGUUGCUUCUUCGUAACGUAUCCCAAUGUCGCCGGCAAACAUGCGAACCUACCGGCAACUUAGCGACACGACUAAGCUCCUCGGAAAGCUGGUAAAGCCGACCAAUGCAUCCUUUCCCGUUUCUAGUUUUGCAACUCAUCAUACAGUGUUGUGCAGGGGCGGGCGCCCGGCAAUUCCCCCGCCGGAAAUAAGAGGCUGCGCGUGCGCACUACGUUCUGCAGCGGUGUCAGCGGUGUUCAGAACGAACUGACACUCUUGGUAAUGACUUAUUUUAGCUGUUUCAAUGUCAAAUUUAGUUUCAGAUUUUAUACUUAAACUUUUUGUUUGUUGGCGAUGAUAAAUAGAAACACUGCAGCUUUUGUUGUUUUGUUUUUAACUGUAAUUGUUUUUCGGAAUGUUCAGUUUGUCCUCAAUAGCUAGUUGAUAAUCUUAUCCGGGUGUUGUUUUAGCAAUGAAGUGUUAGUAUUUGAAGCCUUUUAAAUGGCAGUCCAGCUUCUUUCAAAGGGAACAACCUUUGGUCUGAAAAAAAUAAAACUAUUUGAUAUUUUUUACUCAAAAAGUUUGGAUAAGUCUUCUGAAUGGUACACAAAUAGUCCAAGUUCUUGAUCUGGAAAUUUGAACCAUUUUGCUUUUGAUAUAAACCAAUGUUUGAGCUUAUGAUUGUUCUCAAGUCUGGCACAUAGCUAGGGGUGAGGGUAGGGGGCGGAUGCUUCCCACUCAACCAACACCUGGGUAUGCAAGGGUGAUCAAUGCAUGAUGCACUACAUGAGGCUAGCAUCAACUAAUCACUGAAUUUGUAUUUUAUUUUCAUUGUUGCCACUAAAUUUACCCUUAGAAAUCACAGUAUAUCUCAAGUUGCCCUUGUCUUUGCCCUUAGCUUUAACAGAUCAGGUGAUUGUAUAACGGCUUUUAUCAGACCAUUUUGUGUAGGCUACCUCACGGUUUAUCUCUGAGCACAGGAAACCCGGUAAGAACGCCUGGGACUAGGCUGAGGUUUAAGGACAGUUGACACUGUGUUCGACUAAAAACAGUUGAUUUUCUUUGGAUUUUAUUUUUUGCUUCAAAUUAAAUUAUUGACGGUUUCAAGAACGUAGUUUUUGAGCAUAUAUGAUUUUGCUGAUCUAUUAAAAAACGCGACGUUUUUUUGGUAGCUAGAAAUCAAGUUGAUCAUUUUUAAGAACACGAAUGCAAAAUGCAUUGAAAUAACAUUGAAUAUUAUAUUGAGACAACAUCGAACAACACGAAUGCAAAAUUUAACCAUCUCAUGCCAUUACAGAUUGCGAACAUUCUGGAUAUCCACUCAAACAUCCACGCAAGCUCGUCCCCAGGGUCUUCUUGGUAAUUUUCAGCUGGACACCAUAUUGAAAAAAUACCCAGGAGACCGUGGGGACGAGGUUGACAUCCACGAAGAGACGGCCAGUCAACACGCCUUUCCCACAGAGACAGACCCGGAUGUAAACAACUUUGGAAUCAAUUUGGUUUCAGAAAACACAGCAUUUAGAGAGAUAUGGUGAUUAAUUUAUUAAACUUUAUUUUCUCACAUAGGCAAAGCAAACAAGACUAAAUAGAGUUUUGACCGCAAAGCACUGUUAGAAAAUUUGGAUACCGCUGAUACUAGGUACAGCGGUGUUUCACUUGGAGGACUGUAAAAAACUUAAAAUAGAUGGGGGGUUGGAAUCUGUUUCCUGUCUGCCCCUGCGUCUUGGCACGAAUACCCGAUUCAGACUGAAAAAGCAUGGUUCCAUCACAAUCGUACAUAUAUCAUGCUCGAAGAUCCAGCGUACUUUGCGGGCAUUCAAAGUCCCGCAAAGUACGCGGGGAUGACCUUUGGGAGCGCCCGCAAUGUACGCUGGAUCUUCGAGCAUGUACAUAUAUUCACGAGUCAACUAUUACAAGUUUGUUUUGUUUACAUUUAUAGUUUUCAAUAAACCAUGCAAUAAACCAAACAAAUAAAAUCCUUAUUGUCACGAUAGCUUUCAGCCUUGUAUUAAUCUCCCGUAAGCGACAACAACUAUUGUUCGAGUAUUUGGUGUCCAGUGAAGCUUUUCGCCAUUGAGUAUUGUUAAUGACCAGACAGAUAGUCAAAUUCUGUAAGAAUGACGACAUACAGCCAGCAACAAGUUCAAGAGUACCGAUUAGUGAUUCUCACAGCCAUAAAAGAGUGGGGAUUGCUCUAGAAGACUCCAUGAUAUCAGACAGGGGCUUUAACAAAGAUAAGUCAUCCUUCUUAGCAUUUUUUCUGGACCUUAAACUAGCAAGGAAAGGAAACUAAGCUUCGCCACAAUUGGCAGGGUAGCCGCAACAGCAUGGCCAUUUACAGAUAAUAGAAGAUGUAAAAAGACUAUUUACAACAAGUUAUAGGAGAUGUAAAAAUUCAUCGACAACAUUAUUCAACAAGUGGAUGAGUCCUUUUUGCAAGAGGAGGCUUAGACUAACACUGGCAAAUAAAAAUAACAAUGUUUUUUUUCACUAAUGUAAUCUUAUUUUAAAGAUUAAAGACAAUACAC